GAGGUUUAGCUCAGCUGGGAGAGCAUCUGACUUUUAAUCAGAGGGUCGCUGGUUCGAACCCAGCACGGCUCA
Molecule: transfer RNA, 72 nt
Filed under: Listeria monocytogenes
Lineage: Bacteria; Bacillati; Bacillota; Bacilli; Caryophanales; Listeriaceae
Description: tRNA-Lys
Rfam family: tRNA (bases 6-65)
About the family: Transfer RNA (tRNA) molecules are approximately 80 nucleotides in length. Their secondary structure includes four short double-helical elements and three loops (D, anti-codon, and T loops).
Source: RNAcentral